RNAcentral lists this long non-coding RNA (211 nucleotides) under Medicago truncatula (barrel medic). Its description in RNAcentral is "long non-coding RNA (MTRU_LNC004896)". Lineage: Eukaryota; Viridiplantae; Streptophyta; Magnoliopsida; Fabales; Fabaceae. The record is from RNAcentral.
UGGAAAAGCUUCCGCGAGAAAUUCAGAAGAAACGAAAGAGAUGGAGUCGGUCUGUAACAGUCGUCGGUGGUGGUGUUGGGUUGGAACGGCAGUGACGAGAUUACUGAGUUUGAUUGGGUUUCAUGAGUUAUGGGUUUUGAAGAAAUUAUGAAGGUUUGAUGAAUGAUAUGGGUUCGAUGAUCUGCACCAACCAUUGCGAUACUGUUUAAGU